UGAAUCAAGCAACCUUAACUCUACUCUGGUGGAUAGAGUUCUGAAAUAAAGGGAGUUAAAGGCUUGGGAAUUUAUAAUUUUGAGUUUAAGGACUCAAGAUAUCUCACAAAUUACUGAAGUGAUGAAUCUGUGCCUUUUUAAGAGAUGUUCUGCCCUGUUUUUCUUGCAAAGUGUUGCUGCCACAGUGGUACAAGGAUGUCUGCUUCCAACAGGAGUUGGUAAACAGCUUGAAAUUAUCCCUGGGAUGAGGAGGCACAGAACCUCCAGACAGUGAUCUGAAAUGGGGCAGGGGAUAAGCAACUUACUGACUGUUGGCAGAAGGUCUCAUUCCAGGAAGCUGCAGAUGUCAGCAGUGACGUUCCAUACGAGCCUUGAAGCACUGGUACACAGACGUGUUGGGUUGAGCGCAAAUCCUCUGUUGUAAUCCCUGACUUGGGAUCUUGCCUCCUUUUGAAAGGGACUGUUCUGCUUUGUCAAGCACCAUGCAGUUGAGAAGACAGCUGGGUUACUGCUCUUGGUGUUAAUGUCAUUUAUACUGGUGUUUCUCAGUAAAGGUUUAAGAUAACUCUGCACAUGCUGUGGAAGCGUGGAAGUGCUGAUCCAUGUGAAUCAAAGAUCGCUAUGUUUCAAAGACAAGUGCUAUGAAUACAAGCUAUUCCCAUAAACAUGGCAACAGCAAAUGUGUUUUCCUAUUUAAACCCUCUCCCACACAUCAGUUUCAAUACUUUAUGACUCUUGGCUGUUCUCUGCACCCUGAUGAGCUGCAUACAGCAUGGCAAACUUGUUCACUGAUUGCUGCAUUAAAUUGUGUUAAUAUACUCAACGUAUUUAAAUACCUUACCCUGUUAACAGGAGGUCCCUGAUUUACUAAUGUCCAACUUACAAACACUCAUACUUAUGACUGCGAUCUCCGUACAUGGUUUUAAAAUUUAAAGACCCCAUAUAUGAACCUUUCCUGUAGUUGUGAAUUGUUUCCUUCCAUUGUUGUGCAUUGUGUUCUCUCGUGCAUUGUGUUCUCCCUUGCAAACAAGCUGACUUGCGAAUGGACUCCAGAGCAGAGCCUGUUCUCAACCCUGGGACUGCCUGUAAAAGGUACCUUUUACUCCCUCACAUGUACUAAAGACCACCCCACCACAAGGCAAAUAAAAAUCCAUCUGACCAUGCUGUACUAUAUCUUCUU
Molecule: long non-coding RNA, 1180 nt
Organism: Rhincodon typus (whale shark)
Lineage: Eukaryota; Metazoa; Chordata; Chondrichthyes; Orectolobiformes; Rhincodontidae
Exons: 3
Source: RefSeq, a predicted model, not a curated record